GACGAACGCUGGCGGCGUGCUUAACACAUGCAAGUCGAGCGGUAAGGCCCUUCGAGGUACACGAGCGGCGAACGGGUGAGUAACACGUGAGCAAUCUGCCCAUCACUUUGGGAUAACUGCGGGAAACCGCAGCUAAUACCGAAUACGACCACCUCCGGCAUCGGAUGGUGGUGGAAAGUUCCGGCGGUGAUGGAUGAGCUCGCGGCCUAUCAGCUUGUUGGUGGGGUAAUGGCCUACCAAGGCAACGACGGGUAGCCGGCCUGAGAGGGUGACCGGCCACACUGGGACUGAGACACGGCCCAGACUCCUACGGGAGGCAGCAGUGGGGAAUAUUGGACAAUGGGCGAAAGCCUGAUCCAGCAACGCCGCGUGAGGGAUGACGGCCUUCGGGUUGUAAACCUCUUUCAGCAGGGACGAAGCGCAAGUGACGGUACCUGCAGAAGAGGCACCGGCCAACUACGUGCCAGCAGCCGCGGUAA
Molecule: ribosomal RNA, 479 nt
Filed under: uncultured bacterium
Lineage: Bacteria
Description: partial 16S ribosomal RNA
Rfam family: Bacterial small subunit ribosomal RNA
Source: RNAcentral